RNAcentral lists this ribosomal RNA (1274 nucleotides) under uncultured Gammaproteobacteria bacterium. RNAcentral describes it as "partial 16S ribosomal RNA". It matches the Rfam family "Bacterial small subunit ribosomal RNA", at positions 69 to 1361 of the family's 1533-position model. The record is from RNAcentral. Lineage: Bacteria; Pseudomonadati; Pseudomonadota; Gammaproteobacteria.
GCAGGAAGUGCUUGCACUUCGCUGACGAGUGGCGGACGGGUGAGUAAUGCUUGGGAACUUGCCUUUAGGUGGGGGAUAACAGUUGGAAACGACUGCUAAUACCGCAUAAUGUCUACGGACCAAAGGGGGCUUCGGCUCCCGCCUUGAGAGAGGCCCAAGUGAGAUUAGCUAGUUGGUGGGGUAAAGGCCUACCAAGGCAACGAUCUCUAGCUGUUCUGAGAGGAAGAUCAGCCACACUGGGACUGAGACACGGCCCAGACUCCUACGGGAGGCAGCAGUGGGGAAUAUUGCACAAUGGGGGAAACCCUGAUGCAGCCAUGCCGCGUGUGUGAAGAAGGCCUUCGGGUUGUAAAGCACUUUCAGUUGUGAGGAAAGGUUGGUAGUUAAUACCUGCCAGCUGUGACGUUAACAACAGAAGAAGCACCGGCUAACUCCGUGCCAGCAGCCGCGGUAAUACGGAGGGUGCGAGCGUUAAUCGGAAUUACUGGGCGUAAAGCGCACGCAGGCGGCUUGUUGAGCUAGAGGUGAAAGCCCCGCGCUCAACGUGGGAACUGCCUUUAGAACUGGCAGGCUAGAGUCUUGGAGAGGGGAGUGGAAUUCCAGGUGUAGCGGUGAAAUGCGUAGAUAUCUGGAGGAACAUCAGUGGCGAAGGCGGCUCCCUGGCCAAAGACUGACGCUCAUGUGCGAAAGUGUGGGUAGCGAACAGGAUUAGAUACCCUGGUAGUCCACACCGUAAACGCUGUCUACUAGCUGUUUGUGUAUUUAAUACGUGAGUAGCGAAGCUAACGCGCUAAGUAGACCGCCUGGGGAGUACGGCCGCAAGGUUAAAACUCAAAUGAAUUGACGGGGGCCCGCACAGCGGUGGAGCAUGUGGUUUAAUUCGAUGCAACGCGAAGAACCUUACCUACUCUUGACAUCCAGGAAAUUUUCAGAGAUGAAUUAGUGCCUUCGGGAAUCCUGAGACAGGUGCUGCAUGGCUGUCGUCAGCUCGUGUCGUGAGAUGUGGAUAGUCCCGCACGAGCGCAACCCUGUCCUAGUGCAGCAUAGUGGGCACUCUAAGGAGACUGCGGUGACAACCGGAGAAGGUGGGGACGACGUCAAGUCAUCAUGUCCUACGAGUAGACUACACACGUGCUACAUGGCCAGUACGAGGAAGCGAGGACGAGUAGUGGGAAACGAACCCUCAAACGUGGUUGAUUCGCGAAAUGAGAAUGCAACGGCACUCAUGUAGUCGGAACGCGCUCUGAAAAUGUCAGGCGGUCCGCACUACUGAU